GGGGUGAUAGCUCGGUGGUAGAGCACUUACCUAGCAUGUGUGAGGCACUGGGUUCGAUUUUCAGCACCACA
Molecule: transfer RNA, 71 nt
Filed under: Marmota monax (woodchuck)
Lineage: Eukaryota; Metazoa; Chordata; Mammalia; Rodentia; Sciuridae
Description: tRNA.Ala
Source: RNAcentral